RNAcentral lists this ribosomal RNA (2656 nucleotides) under Staphylococcus aureus. RNAcentral describes it as "partial 23S ribosomal RNA". It matches the Rfam family "Bacterial large subunit ribosomal RNA". Lineage: Bacteria; Bacillati; Bacillota; Bacilli; Caryophanales; Staphylococcaceae. The record is from RNAcentral.
GAAACCCAGCAUGAGUUAUGUCAUGUUAUCGAUAUGUGAAUACAUAGCAUAUCAGAAGGCACACCCGGAGAACUGAAACAUCUUAGUACCCGGAGGAAGAGAAAGAAAAUUCGAUUCCCUUAGUAGCGGCGAGCGAAACGGGAAGAGCCCAAACCAACAAGCUUGCUUGUUGGGGUUGUAGGACACUCUAUACGGAGUUACAAAGGACGACAUUAGACGAAUCAUCUGGAAAGAUGAAUCAAAGAAGGUAAUAAUCCUGUAGUCGAAAAUGUUGUCUCUCUUGAGUGGAUCCUGAGUACGACGGAGCACGUGAAAUUCCGUCGGAAUCUGGGAGGACCAUCUCCUAAGGCUAAAUACUCUCUAGUGACCGAUAGUGAACCAGUACCGUGAGGGAAAGGUGAAAAGCACCCCGGAAGGGGAGUGAAAUAGAACCUGAAACCGUGUGCUUACAAGUAGUCAGAGCCCGUUAAUGGGUGAUGGCGUGCCUUUUGUAGAAUGAACCGGCGAGUUACGAUUUGAUGCAAGGUUAAGCAGUAAAUGUGGAGCCGUAGCGAAAGCGAGUCUGAAUAGGGCGUUUAGUAUUUGGUCGUAGACCCGAAACCAGGUGAUCUACCCUUGGUCAGGUUGAAGUUCAGGUAACACUGAAUGGAGGACCGAACCGACUUACGUUGAAAAGUGAGCGGAUGAACUGAGGGUAGCGGAGAAAUUCCAAUCGAACCUGGAGAUAGCUGGUUCUCUCCGAAAUAGCUUUAGGGCUAGCCUCAAGUGAUGAUUAUUGGAGGUAGAGCACUGUUUGGACGAGGGGCCCCUCUCGGGUUACCGAAUUCAGACAAACUCCGAAUGCCAAUUAAUUUAACUUGGGAGUCAGAACAUGGGUGAUAAGGUCCGUGUUCGAAAGGGAAACAGCCCAGACCACCAGCUAAGGUCCCAAAAUAUAUGUUAAGUGGAAAAGGAUGUGGCGUUGCCCAGACAACUAGGAUGUUGGCUUAGAAGCAGCCAUCAUUUAAAGAGUGCGUAAUAGCUCACUAGUCGAGUGACACUGCGCCGAAAAUGUACCGGGGCUAAACAUAUUACCGAAGCUGUGGAUUGUCCUUUGGACAAUGGUAGGAGAGCGUUCUAAGGGCGUUGAAGCAUGAUCGUAAGGACAUGUGGAGCGCUUAGAAGUGAGAAUGCCGGUGUGAGUAGCGAAAGACGGGUGAGAAUCCCGUCCACCGAUUGACUAAGGUUUCCAGAGGAAGGCUCGUCCGCUCUGGGUUAGUCGGGUCCUAAGCUGAGGCCGACAGGCGUAGGCGAUGGAUAACAGGUUGAUAUUCCUGUACCACCUAUAAUCGUUUUAAUCGAUGGGGGGACGCAGUAGGAUAGGCGAAGCGUGCGAUUGGAUUGCACGUCUAAGCAGUAAGGCUGAGUAUUAGGCAAAUCCGGUACUCGUUAAGGCUGAGCUGUGAUGGGGAGAAGACAUUGUGUCUUCGAGUCGUUGAUUUCACACUGCCGAGAAAAGCCUCUAGAUAGAAAAUAGGUGCCCGUACCGCAAACCGACACAGGUAGUCAAGAUGAGAAUUCUAAGGUGAGCGAGCGAACUCUCGUUAAGGAACUCGGCAAAAUGACCCCGUAACUUCGGGAGAAGGGGUGCUCUUUAGGGUUAACGCCCAGAAGAGCCGCAGUGAAUAGGCCCAAGCGACUGUUUAUCAAAAACACAGGUCUCUGCUAAACCGUAAGGUGAUGUAUAGGGGCUGACGCCUGCCCGGUGCUGGAAGGUUAAGAGGAGUGGUUAGCUUCUGCGAAGCUACGAAUCGAAGCCCCAGUAAACGGCGGCCGUAACUAUAACGGUCCUAAGGUAGCGAAAUUCCUUGUCGGGUAAGUUCCGACCCGCACGAAAGGCGUAACGAUUUGGGCACUGUCUCAACGAGAGACUCGGUGAAAUCAUAGUACCUGUGAAGAUGCAGGUUACCCGCGACAGGACGGAAAGACCCCGUGGAGCUUUACUGUAGCCUGAUAUUGAAAUUCGGCACAGCUUGUACAGGAUAGGUAGGAGCCUUUGAAACGUGAGCGCUAGCUUACGUGGAGGCGCUGGUGGGAUACUACCCUAGCUGUGUUGGCUUUCUAACCCGCACCACUUAUCGUGGUGGGAGACAGUGUCAGGCGGGCAGUUUGACUGGGGCGGUCGCCUCCUAAAAGGUAACGGAGGCGCUCAAAGGUUCCCUCAGAAUGGUUGGAAAUCAUUCAUAGAGUGUAAAGGCAUAAGGGAGCUUGACUGCGAGACCUACAAGUCGAGCAGGGUCGAAAGACGGACUUAGUGAUCCGGUGGUUCCGCAUGGAAGGGCCAUCGCUCAACGGAUAAAAGCUACCCCGGGGAUAACAGGCUUAUCUCCCCCAAGAGUUCACAUCGACGGGGAGGUUUGGCACCUCGAUGUCGGCUCAUCGCAUCCUGGGGCUGUAGUCGGUCCCAAGGGUUGGGCUGUUCGCCCAUUAAAGCGGUACGCGAGCUGGGUUCAGAACGUCGUGAGACAGUUCGGUCCCUAUCCGUCGUGGGCGUAGGAAAUUUGAGAGGAGCUGUCCUUAGUACGAGAGGACCGGGAUGGACAUACCUCUGGUGUACCAGUUGUCGUGCCAACGGCAUAGCUGGGUAGCUAUGUGUGGACGGGAUAAGUGCUGAAAG